AAGUGUUGUUUUUUGAAUAUCAAAUGAAUUACUAGAUGUAAAAAUAUAAACGUAACGUAAGACGAAAUUUUGUAAGGAGAAAUUUUAUAACUGUGAUUUGCAAGUUUUUAAAAAGGGUAACCUCUUAGUUAAUUUGAAAUAUAAUUUGUGAAAUAAAACAUUUAAGUAACUAAAAAGAAAUCAACCGAGAUUUUGUGAGUAGUGGCGAGCGAAAACAAAUUUAGAGUAAGUAAAAAACUUUAAAGACAAAAAAACUAUGACAAGUUUGCGAAAAAGGUGAAAGCCCUGUAUGAAUUUAAGUUUAAAAAAAAAAGUAAAAAAAAACCAGUAAUUUUUUUUGAAGACUCUUUGGGGUACCAUUCCUCAAACUCUAAAAAUUUUUUACAAUCAAUAGUAAAAAGUACUGUAAAGGAACGUUGAAAAGAAUCUUCUCUAGAAGUGAAAAGAACAUGAAAUUUGAUAUUAAUAACUUGUUGAAGUUUUGUUUUCAAUUAAACAAAAUACCAAUUUACCUUUUGUAUCAUGAACUAGCAAGUUUAUUUUUGCAGCAAGCUUAAGUUAUAAAAACGUAGGCUUAGUUAAUACAAGUAUAAAAAACAAAAAAGUUGUAAAAAUAAAACCCGAAACCAAUUGAUUUAACCAUAAACAAGCCAAAAAUAUAAUAAAUUAUAUAUCAGGGCUGUAUUCGUAGUUGUUGCAAAAACUUGAAAUGAUUUGUGGUUAGGGGUGAAAGGUCAAACAAAAUUGGUGAUAGCUGGUUUCUUGCGAAAAAUAUUUAAGUAUUGCGUGAAAAGAAAUUUUAGAAGGUAAAGCUCUUUUAAAAUAAAAAUUUUUAUAUAUUUUGAAAAACUUUGAAUGUUUAUAAUUUUCUUUUUGCAGUCAGACUUUAUUGCGCUAAGGUUUAAAGUCAAAAGGGAAACAGCCCAGAUUAUUGUUUAAGGUCCAUAAAAAAGAAUUUAGUAUAGAAAGAACAUAAGAAGGAUUUUGCUAGAAGAUAAGCUUAGAAUCAGCUAUUCUUUAAAAAAUGAGUAAAAACAUACUAGCAUGAGUUAAUCUGACUUCUUAUAUCAAAAAUUUAUUGGCUUAAAUUCUUUGCCGAAAACAUAAACUCGAAGGAGUGGUAGCAAGACGUUUUUUAUUUCUAACUUUUAUUGAAAAAUAAAACACUAAAAAAAAAAUUGAAAAUGUUAGUAUGAGUAACGAUAAACAAUGUAAGAAUCAUUGUCACCUAAUCGAAAAGGUUUUCUAUGAAAAAGUUUAUCUGCAUAGAGUAAAUCAGUCCCUAAAAAAUAAUCGUUAGAUUUAAAUUGAUGGGUAUUAAAUUAAGAAACAUUUUAAACAAAAUGACAGAAAUUAUAAAAUGUUUUUAAUUAUUUGCUUUUAAAAAUAUGUAUAAUGUUCUCAAGAAAAAAUUAUGUUUAAUAUAUCUUUUUUUAAACUGUACUGAAAACCAACACAGGUAUUUUUUAGGUGUUGAGAUAAUCAUUUUUAAGGAACUCGGCAAAAAAAUUCUCUAACUUAGGGAUAAAGAAAGCCUUUUAAACGAGGUGUAACAAAAAGUGGAUAGCGACUGUUUUUUAAAAACACAAAACCUUGCUAAAUUGUAAGAUAAUGUAUAAGGUUUGACGCCUGCCCAGUGUUGAAUUUUGAAUCAAGAAAGUUUUUUCGGUUUUUUUGUUAUAAAUCAAUAAACGGCAGUCGUAACUAUAACGAUUCUAAGGUAGCGAAAUUCCUAGUCAAUUAAUUGUUGACCUGCAUGAAUGGCGUAACGACUUUCCAACUGUCUCAAAAAUGAUCUCAGUGAAAUUAAAUUUUGCGUGAAGAUGCGUAAUUAUAUAAACAAGACGGAAAGACCCUAUAAACCUUAACUACAAAUUUUCAUUGUUACUUUUUAUUUUUUGUUUAGUAUAAGUGGUAGCUGUUUGAAUCCUUAACGCAAGUUAAUUGAUUAGGCAACUAUGAAAUACCACUCUAAGAAUAAAAAAUAACUAAUUAAAUUGAAAGUGAAAAUUUUUUAGUUUGAUUGGGGCGAUCACCUUUUAAAUUGUAACAAAGGUCUGCAAAAUUAAGCUCAAAAUUAGUAAAAGCAAUUUUUAGAGUGUAAUAGCAUAAGUUUAUUUGACUGUAAGAUAUACAAAUCAAGCAGGAAUUGUAGUUGGCUAUAGUGAUCCGAAAAUUUUUUAUGGAAAAAUUUUCGCUUACGGAAUUAAAGGUACUUUAGGGAUAACAGGCUAAUUACUUUUACGAGUUCGUAUCAAUAAAGUUGUUUGGCACCUCGAUGUCGGUUCGUCAUAUCCUAGCGCUGAAAAUUGGUACUAAGGGUUCAGCUGUUCGCUGAUUAAAAUGGCACGUGAACUGGGUUAAAAACGCUGUAAAGCAGUUUGGUCCCUAUCUGUUUAUAUCAAAAAGAAUAAAAGAAUUUUGUUUCUAGUACGAGAGGACCGAGACAAAAAAACCAAUUGUUUUUCAGUUUUUUCGCCAGAACUCACUGAUUAGCUACGUUUUUAUUGUUUAAUUGCUGAAAACUAUAAAUGCAAGAAAACUUUUCUUUGUAAAUUCUUUUUUAAGAGUAGAAGAUUACUACUUAAGAAAUAGGCAAAAUUUAUGAAAAUAGUAAUAUUUUUAGUGAAUUUGUACUAAUUAUCUAAAAUAAAUAAUGAAUA
This is a ribosomal RNA of 2663 nucleotides. It matches the Rfam family "Bacterial large subunit ribosomal RNA".